GGCCGUAUGGUGAAAUUGGUAUACACGGUUGAUUCAAAAUCAACUGCCGAAAGGCGUGACAGUUCGAGUCUGUCUACGGCCACCA
RNAcentral lists this transfer RNA (85 nucleotides) under Vibrio parahaemolyticus. RNAcentral's name for it is "tRNA-Leu". It matches the Rfam family "tRNA". Rfam says of the family: Transfer RNA (tRNA) molecules are approximately 80 nucleotides in length. Lineage: Bacteria; Pseudomonadati; Pseudomonadota; Gammaproteobacteria; Vibrionales; Vibrionaceae. The record is from RNAcentral.